AGGGAAUCUUCCGCAAUGGACGAAAGUCUGACGGAGCAACGCCGCGUGAGUGAUGAAGGUUUUCGGAUCGUAAAGCUCUGUUGCCAGGGAGGAACGUCCGUUAGAGUAACUGCUAACGGAGUGACGGUACCUGAGAAGAAAGCCCCGGCUAACUACGUGCCAGCAGCCGCGGUAAUACGUAGGUGGCAAGCGUUGUCCGGAAUUAUUGGGCGUAAAGCGCGCGCAGGCGGCUGUUUAAGUCUGGUGUAUAACCCUGGGGCUCAACUCCGGGUCGCACUGGAAACUGGACGGCUUGAGUGCAGAAGAGGAGAGUGGAAUUCCACGUGUAGCGGUGAAAUGCGUAGAGAUGUGGAGGAACACCAGUGGCGAAGGCGACUCUCUGGGCUGUAACUGACGCUGAGGCGCGAAAGCGUGGGGAGCAAAC
Molecule: ribosomal RNA, 424 nt
Filed under: uncultured bacterium
Lineage: Bacteria
Description: bacterial SSU rRNA
Rfam family: Bacterial small subunit ribosomal RNA
Source: RNAcentral